Molecule: long non-coding RNA, 203 nt
Organism: Dicentrarchus labrax (European seabass)
Lineage: Eukaryota; Metazoa; Chordata; Actinopteri; Moronidae
Exons: 3
Source: RefSeq, a predicted model, not a curated record
GAGAGGUUUGGGGACUGGCUGCAGAGGUUUUGGGGACUGGCUGCAGAGGUCUGGGGACUGGCUGCAGAGGUUUGGGGACUGGCUGCAGAGGUUUGAGAGGUUUGGGGACUGGCUGCAGAGGUUUUAGAGGUUUGGGGACUGGCUGCAGAGGUUUCAGAGGUUUGGGGACUGGCUGCAGAGGUUUGGGGACUUGCUUGCUUUGU